AGCCUGAUCCAGCCAUGCCGCGUGUGUGAAGAAGGCCUUCGGGUUGUAAAGCACUUUCAGCGAGGAAGAACGCCUUGGGAUUAAUACUCCCGAGGAAAGACAUCACUCGCAGAAGAAGCACCGGCUAACUCCGUGCCAGCAGCCGCGGUAAUACGGAGGGUGCAAGCGUUAAUCGGAAUUACUGGGCGUAAAGCGCGCGUAGGUGGCUAAGUCAGCCAGGUGUGAAAGCCCCGGGCUCAACCUGGGAACGGCAUCUGGAACUGCUUGGCUAGAGUGCAGGAGAGGAAGGUAGAAUUCCCGGUGUAGCGGUGAAAUGCGUAGAGAUCGGGAGGAAUACCAGUGGCGAAGGCGGCCUUCUGGACUGACACUGACACUGAGGUGCGAAAGCGUGGGUAGCAAACAGGAUUAGAUACCCUGGUAGUCCACGCCGUAAACGAUGUCAACUAGCCGUUGGGUCCCUUGAGGACUUAGUGGCGCAGCUAACGCAAUAAGUUGACCGCCUGGGGAGUACGGCCGCAAGGUUAAAACUCAA
This 532-nucleotide ribosomal RNA is filed under the name Cobetia sp. RNAcentral describes it as "bacterial SSU rRNA". It matches the Rfam family "Bacterial small subunit ribosomal RNA", at positions 380 to 904 of the family's 1533-position model. Lineage: Bacteria; Pseudomonadati; Pseudomonadota; Gammaproteobacteria; Oceanospirillales; Halomonadaceae. The record is from RNAcentral.